RNAcentral lists this ribosomal RNA (423 nucleotides) under uncultured eukaryote. RNAcentral's name for it is "bacterial SSU rRNA". It matches the Rfam family "Eukaryotic small subunit ribosomal RNA", at positions 592 to 1018 of the family's 1831-position model. The record is from RNAcentral.
CAAUAGCGUAUAUUAAAGUUGUUGCAGUUAAAAAGCUCGUAGUUGGAUCUCUGGUUUAGGCCGGCGGUUCGCCUCGCGGCGACUACUGCCUGUCCUGACCUACCUGCCGGUUUUCCUCAGGUGCUCUUGACUGAGUGUCUGGGGUGGCCGGAACGUUUACUUUGAAAAAAUUAGAGUGUUCAAAGCAGGCAUGUUCGCCUGAAUAUUAGUGCAUGGAAUAAUGGAAGAGGACCUCGGUUCUAUUUUGUUGGUUUUCGGAGCGCGAGGUAAUGAUUAAGAGGGACAGACGGGGGCGUCCGUACUCUGCCGUUAGAGGUGAAAUUCUUGGAUCGGCGGAAGACGAACUACUGCGAAAGCAUUCGCCAAGAAUGUUUUCUUUAAUCAAGAGCGAAAGUCAGAGGUUCGAAGAUGAUCAGAUACCAU